GACGAACGCUGACGGCGUGCUUAACACAUGCAAGUCGAACGAGUGGCGAACGGGUGAGUAAUGUCUGGGAAACUGCCUGAUGGAGGGGGAUAACUACUGGAAACGGUAGCUAAUACCGCAUACCAUCGGAUGUGCCCAGAUGGGAUUAGCUAGUAGGUGGGGUAACGGCUCACCUAGGCGACGAUCCCUAGCUGGUCUGAGAGGAUGACCAGCCACACUGGAACUGAGACACGGUCCAGACUCCUACGGGAGGCAGCAGUGGGGAAUAUUGCACAAUGGGCGCAAGCCUGAUGCAGCCAUGCCGCGUGUAUGAAGAAGGCCUUCGGGUUGUAAAGUACUUUCAGCGGGGAGGCGUUACCCGCAGAAGAAGCACCGGCUAACUCCGUGCCAGCAGCCGCGGUAAUAC
RNAcentral lists this ribosomal RNA (406 nucleotides) under uncultured bacterium. Its description in RNAcentral is "partial 16S ribosomal RNA". It matches the Rfam family "Bacterial small subunit ribosomal RNA", at positions 28 to 526 of the family's 1533-position model. The record is from RNAcentral.